Molecule: long non-coding RNA, 1013 nt
Organism: Bos taurus (domestic cattle)
Lineage: Eukaryota; Metazoa; Chordata; Mammalia; Artiodactyla; Bovidae
Source: Ensembl
UAGCUAAAUAGAUGCAGAGAUCCAACUCAGUGAAGAUAAGGUCAAGGAGUUUGGAGGCCAGGGUACUGGAUAAAUCAGGUGCAUAAAUGUGGAAGUCAUUCAGAAUCACUGGGCAGAGAAGAGUGUGCGCCAGGUGUCAGUUGCAAUGAAUGACAAGGUGACACUGGAGCAAAGAGGACAGGAAGCCUAGUGAGAUGGAGAGUGCUAUAAUCAGGUGGAAUGAGCUGCCACAAAGUUUUGUUUUGUUUUUGAAGACGAUGGCAAAUUAAUGGCAUGGAAGGAGCACUAGGGAUCUAGGAAGAUGCUGACUCCAAAAUUGGAUUCUGGGAUAGGUGAAGUGUGGGAGAGUCACCUCUUCUCAACAGUAUAAGGGAGAAUCUGAGUUUCAAGAUUAACUGGCACGAAAGUAAGGUUCUCGCCCCCUCAUAGUUGGCACUCGGCGAAUAUUAGCCGUCUCUCAACAUUCAGGUAAACACGUAUAUGCCUUUGCUCUGCGCCUUCCUCGCCCCAAUCUCUAUGCAAAAGACUAGGGCUAGGCAAAGGGGUGGGCUCCGGUGGUUGGAGGCAGCGUAGCUCUUCCUUCACUCGGUCAACUGAGAACGUGUUAGCAAGGCUUUCCGUAACUUCACUGGCGCACAAGACGUAGAACCCCGUAAGGGAGAUUUUAUUCCUUUCACCAAAAAACAUUCAUCGAGCGCCUAACAUGUGUGAGACACCGGCGACACAAACACGAGCGAGAUAUAUUCCCGACUACCGGGAGGUCGUUCGGUCGCAUUCGGUGUCAAGGCCAACACGGGUAGGUUUCACACCGUUUAGACUUUUCCAAGUUCUCCCCACACUUUUAGCUGAGGUAAAAUGUCGGAAGUCGCUGUGCACCAGAACUGAGAUCCCUCCAGAAUUUGGCCUCGCUGUCUGGCGUUCCCAGCUCGCUCUAGCGAACCUGGGUGCGCCCUCCGGGAAAGCUGACGUCCACGUGGGCUCCCCAGCCGCCCGCGGGGCGGGGCGUAAUGGGC